UCGAGCGAGCGGAACCACAGAUUUACUUCGGUAAUGACGUUGGGAAAGCGAGCGGCGGAUGGGUGAGUAACACGUGGGGAACCUGCCCCUAAGUCUGGGAUACCAUUUGGAAACAGGUGCUAAUACCGGAUAAUAAAGCGGAUCGCAUGAUCAGCUUUUGAAAGGCGGCGUAAGCUGUCGCUAAGGGAUGGCCCCGCGGUGCAUUAGCUAGUUGGUAAGGUAACGGCUUACCAAGGCGACGAUGCAUAGCCGAGUUGAGAGACUGAUCGGCCACAUUGGGACUGAGACACGGCCCAAACUCCUAUGGGAGGCAGCAGUAGGGAAUCUUCCACAAUGGACGCAAGUCUGAUGGAGCAACGCCGCGUGAGUGAAGAAGGUUUUCGGAUCGUAAAGCUCUGUUGUUGGUGAAGAAGGAUAGAGGUAGUAACUGGCCUUUAUUUGACGGUAAUCAACCAGAAAGUCACGGCUAACUACGUGCCAGCAGCCGCGGUAAUACGUAGGUGGCAAGCGUUGUCCGGAUUUAUUGGGCGUAAAGCGAGCGCAGGCGGAAAAAUAAGUCUAAUGUGAAAGCCCUCGGCUUAACCGAGGAACUGCAUCGGAAACUGUUUUUCUUGAGUGCAGAAGAGGAGAGUGGAACUCCAUGUGUAGCGGUGGAAUGCGUAGAUAUAUGGAAGAACACCAGUGGCGAAGGCGGCUCUCUGGUCUGCAACUGACGCUGAGGCUCGAAAGCAUGGGUAGCGAACAGGAUUAGAUACCCUGGUAGUCCAUGCCGUAAACGAUGAGUGCUAAGUGUUGGGAGGUUUCCGCCUCUCAGUGCUGCAGCUAACGCAUUAAGCACUCCGCCUGGGGAG
This 851-nucleotide ribosomal RNA is filed under the name uncultured bacterium. RNAcentral's name for it is "bacterial SSU rRNA". It matches the Rfam family "Bacterial small subunit ribosomal RNA", at positions 62 to 880 of the family's 1533-position model. The record is from RNAcentral.